This is a long non-coding RNA of Telopea speciosissima, 150 nucleotides long. RefSeq lists it as uncharacterized. The transcript is spliced from 2 exons. NCBI's taxonomy places the organism in Eukaryota, Viridiplantae, Streptophyta, Magnoliopsida, Proteales, Proteaceae. The record is from RefSeq and is a predicted model, not a curated record.
CUGAGAUUAGGCCUCACGUGCCUCAUCUUAUAUAUAACGCUAGGUAUGUUGUUACGGUUGAAGCCUCUGCAAUUGACGCCUAAACCCUAGCAACUGCGCGACGUCUGAUCCACCAUGGGGGCUUACAAGUACGUCUCUGAGCUAUGGAGG